RNAcentral lists this ribosomal RNA (591 nucleotides) under uncultured fungus. Its description in RNAcentral is "eukaryotic LSU rRNA". It matches the Rfam family "Eukaryotic large subunit ribosomal RNA", at positions 40 to 647 of the family's 3401-position model. Lineage: Eukaryota; Fungi. The record is from RNAcentral.
AUAUCAAUAAGCGGAGGAAAAGAAACCAACAGGGAUUGCCUCAGUAACGGCGAGUGAAGCGGCAACAGCUCAAAUUUGAAAUCUGGCUCCUUCGGAGCCCGAGUUGUAAUUUGUAGAGGAUGCUUCGGCUUGAUUUCCGGGCUAAGUUCCUUGGAACAGGACGUCAUAGAGGGUGAGAAUCCCGUAUGUGCCCGGCAAAGCUCGCCAUGUGAAGCUCCUUCGACGAGUCGAGUUGUUUGGGAAUGCAGCUCUAAAUGGGAGGUAAAUUUCUCCUAAAGCUAAAUAUUGGCCAGAGACCGAUAGCGCACAAGUAGAGUGAUCGAAAGAUGAAAAGCACUUUGAAAAGAGAGUCAAAAAGUACGUGAAAUUGUUGAAAGGGAAGCGCUUGCAACCAGACCUGACCGCAGUUGCUCAUCCGGGCUCUGCCCGGUGCACUCUUCUGUGGCCAGGCCAGCAUCGGUUUGGGCGGUCGUAUAAAGGCCGCGGGAAUGUGGCUCCUCUCGGGGAGUGUUAUAGCCCGCGGUGCAAUGCGGCCAGCCCAGACCGAGGACCGCGCUCCGGCUAGGAUGCUGGCGUAAUGGUUGUAAGCGG